GCUGGGGUGAACUUAUAAUGGUUGAGUGGAGCGCUCGGAAAUAGUUGGUCUUCAGUCUCGUCAGGGCCUCUGCUCACGAACGAAAGAGCUCAUUCAGAGCACAUCAAUAACCAGAACAUAGUGCAUAGUGUUGCAAUUCAACACAGGACUCCUAGACAAGCGACUCAAAGUUUCUGGGCGCUGGAGCUUGCCCGCUAGCUGCUGAAAUCCGCGGACACCACGUUCACACCUAAUUCUCACGAACCCGCAGAAAGGGAGUAUUGAAUUGAGAGUCCAAGCAACCUCAAGCCUCUGAAUACCCAUGGGAGAAGCAACGGGAAUUAAAUGAAGGCACGAGAGUGGGGGGUCAUCUGCGUUUACGUACAGUUAAAAUCUAAAUCAGGAGCUUCUUCGAUGACAUUCAACUGACUUACUCUUCCGAAGGAACGGCUAAAACCGGACUGGAGCGGGCGUGCUAGCUGAGGAGGGAGCUUGUUUCUGUCCUAACUGGAAAAGAUGACUCUGAAGAGGUCUCUGACUCUUCAGGUAAAAUCCUGCGGUGAACUCAUAAUGGAUGCGUGGAGCGCUGAGAAGCAGUUGGUCUUCACAGUCUCGUGCAGGUCUCUCCUCAUGAGUGAAAGAGCUCUUUCAGAACACAACAAGAACCAGAAUAUUGCACUUAGUGUUGCAAUUCAAUACAGGACUCCUAGACAAGCGACUCAAAGUUCCUGGGCGCUGGAGCUUGCCCACUAGCCACUGAUAUCCGCGGACAUCACGUUCACACCUAAUUCUCACGAACCCGCAGAAAAGGAGUAUUGAAUUGAGAGUCCAAGCAACCUCAAGUCUGUAAAUGCCAAUGGGAGAAGCAACGGGAAAUAAGGGAACGCAUGAGAGUGGGGAGUCAUCUGCAUUUAAGCACAAUUAAUAUCUAAAUCAGGAGCCUCUUCGAUGGCGUUCAACUGACUUGCUCUUCCAAAAGAACGGCUAAAACUGGACUGGCGCGGGCUUGCGAGCAGAGCUUGGAAGGACCCUGUAGGAGCUGCCUAGCAGUUCGGAUCACAGAACACUGUUCCCAA
This 1055-nucleotide long non-coding RNA is filed under the name Homo sapiens (human). RNAcentral's name for it is "HSALNT0103113". Lineage: Eukaryota; Metazoa; Chordata; Mammalia; Primates; Hominidae. The record is from RNAcentral.